This 1320-nucleotide long non-coding RNA is filed under the name Felis catus (domestic cat). Its description in RNAcentral is "lncRNA (ENSFCAG00000049059.1)". The record is from RNAcentral. Lineage: Eukaryota; Metazoa; Chordata; Mammalia; Carnivora; Felidae.
UUCCAAGCUUAAGACCUAGGCUUGGACCUGGCAGUGUCAAGUUUACUGCAUUGUAUUGAUCAAAGCCAGUCACAGGACCAUCCCAGAUGUAAGGGAGGGGCAACGGACUCCACCUGCUGCAUAAGAGGUGUGGUGUGGGACAAGAGAGAUUGGUUGUGGGCAUCUUUGCACUCUGUCUCCCACAGACGGCCACCCAGAACUGCAUUCCAAUGAAUGCCUGCUGCCUUUGACUUCUGUUCUUAUAGAGUAGCAAAUUGAAGCUCUGGUGACGCGGAGGGCCCAGAAAAAACACAAACGAUAGAAGUGGAGAAGCUGCAGAAAGGAGAUAGUGCUGUUGAAGAUGAUGGCUCAGAACAAGAGAACGGUCUUUAAUCCUGAGUCUACCACUCUGCUACCAAGGAAUGUCGAAGAGAAAAGUGGAGCUCAAGUUCUCAAGUUUUUCUGGAAUCUAAGACAGGGUAAGACAACAAAGCAGGUACAUAUUUUGGUUUAACUACUUCUGCACUUGUUUUAAGACAUCUUCAAUGAGACGUUGAGUGUUUUCAUUACAUAUCAUGAAGUAGGUGAAAAUCUUUUUUUUUUUUUUAACUCUAGGUCUGAAUAUAUGGAGCCCAUUCUCAGUUAUUCACCUCAUUUGAUUUUGGCUUCUUGAGAUGGAUGUGUGGGUAGGCUGCUAUGGUUGUUCCUUUUGUUGUUGUUGCUGUUGUUAUUUUUUCCCCAAGCACAAACACAUUUUCUUUGCCUAGAAUCCAGUUUAGGAGCUUGUAUGAGAGGAUGGCAGCUGAGAAGUGAUGUUAGAGUGCGUGUGUUGCUGUCCCAGGUGGUUCCCUGAUGGAUUAGACUUCCAAGGAAGGAAAAAAAAUUCAGUUCAUUGCAGCAGGUUCAAGAUGCCAACCUGUGUUGUUAUUUCAUCCCUGGGGAGUAAAUUAAAGUGAUACUGUUUCUUCGAUAUACCUUGGAACCAACAAAGAGAAAAUAAUGACUUGUAGUGUGUUAGUGUGGGUAAGUUGCUGGAAGUAGCAGGAUCCACGCCCCCACCCCCAACCUGUGCUGAGGUCAUUAUAUCAAAAUCUUCAAACAUUGAAUUUGCUCCUCAGGGUGCCUGGGUAGCUGAGUCGGUUGGGCAUCCGACUUCAGCUCAGGCCAUGAUCUCGUGGUUGGUGGGUUCGAGCCCUGUGUAGGGCUCUGUGCUGACAGCUCAGAUCCUGGGGCCUACUUCAGAUUCUGUGUCUUCCUCUCUCUUUCUGCCUCUCCCCUGCUUGCACUCUGUCUCUCUCUCUAAAAAAUAAAUAAAUAUUAGAAAAAAGGAAAUGCUUCUUU